GCCUCCAUAGCUCAGCGGAUUAGAGCAACGGGCUUCUACCCCGUGUGUCGUAGGUUCGAAUCCUACUGGGGGUGCCC
Molecule: transfer RNA, 77 nt
Filed under: Corynebacterium casei
Lineage: Bacteria; Bacillati; Actinomycetota; Actinomycetes; Mycobacteriales; Corynebacteriaceae
Description: tRNA-Arg
Rfam family: tRNA
About the family: Transfer RNA (tRNA) molecules are approximately 80 nucleotides in length. Their secondary structure includes four short double-helical elements and three loops (D, anti-codon, and T loops).
Source: RNAcentral